Molecule: ribosomal RNA, 428 nt
Filed under: Verrucomicrobiota bacterium
Lineage: Bacteria; Pseudomonadati; Verrucomicrobiota
Description: Verrucomicrobia bacterium partial 16S ribosomal RNA
Rfam family: Bacterial small subunit ribosomal RNA
Source: RNAcentral
UAGGGAAUCUUCCGCAAUGGACGAAAGUCUGACGGAGCAACGCCGCGUGAGUGAAGAAGGAUUUCGGUUCGUAAAACUCUGUUGUUAGGGAAGAAAAAAUGUAUAGUAACUAUAUACAAAAGAGACGGUACCUAACCAGAAAGCCACGGCUAACUACGUGCCAGCAGCCGCGGAAUACGUAGGUGGCAAGCGUUGUCCGGAAUUAUUGGGCGUAAAGCGCGCGCAGGUGGUUUAGAAAGUCUGAUGUGAAAGCCCACGGCUCAACCGUGGAGGGUCAUUGGAAACUAAUAAACUUGAGUGCAGGAGAGAAAAGUGGAAUUCCUAGUGUAGCGGUGAAAUGCGUAGAGAUUAGGAGGAACACCGGUGGCGAAAGCGGCUUUUUGGCCUGCAACUGACACUGAGGCGCGAAAGCGUGGGGAGCAAACAGG